Long non-coding RNA from Gasterosteus aculeatus aculeatus (three-spined stickleback), 1196 nucleotides. NCBI's taxonomy places the organism in Eukaryota, Metazoa, Chordata, Actinopteri, Perciformes, Gasterosteidae. The record is from Ensembl.
GGUAGAAUCCUGUCCUUAAUUAAACCACAACUAAAUCAGGUACAGUACACACACACACACACACACACACACAAUACAAUCAAAUAAUACCUCCUCUGUAAACAGACACAUUAUGACACUCGGCCUGUUUAAACAUAAUUACAGUAAUCCCGUUACAGCUGUGUGGACUUAAGGGUCUCAAUGGCUUCGUAUAAUCUUCCAUUGUCAUAUCAUAGCUUAUAUUAAGAGACUGACAGUAAAUAUACUACAUAAAGUCCAUCUCACAUCAUUAAGACAUCAAACGUCUGAGCAUCAACACAGAGGAAGCGAUGAGCUCCGUUACUCCGUCGCUUCCUUCUUACGCGCUGUAAUUGAAAAGAGGCGUCAGGAGCAGAGGAAGGAGCGCUGUGUGACAGUGCUGCAGGAAAAGAGAUGGAAAGUCCGGCUUGUUAAAGGUCACCAGUAGCCAAUUCCCCCCCUGUCCCUCCCCGGGCCGCUCCUAUUGGCUGGUAGUAGUAAUCAUGACCUUUUCACACAAAGCCAAACCAGCACGUGUGCAAACAAACAUCUAAUCAUGAUGUAUGUCUCUGCAGGGGGAGCGAGGCACAGAUGGAGAUCCAGGGACUCCCGGUGUACCUGCCCAGGGACCCCCUGUGUUGUGUCUACAGCUGCAUAAUAGUCCAGCUUGCAGUACUUGGUUGUCCAUUAGAUGUCCCUCCUAGGACAGGUCUAUAGAUGUCCCUCAUAGGACAGGUCUAUAGCAGGUUGGCAAACGUUUUGACUCGCGGCCACAAUGGGUUGUAAAAUGUGACGGAGGAGCCGGGCCAAGAACAAAUGGUGGAAGUGAAAAGAUUUGGAUUUUAACAAAUAGCAAAGCAUUUAUUUGCAAGGCAAUUUAACAAAUUGGCAAAGGUGUAACAACUUCAUGAGGACCAGGGAUCUAAACGCAACACUUAGUUGUCUUUGUUUACUUGCAACGCUUUUGACACGGCCACCUGUCACGUGUGUGGCGCCUCUAUGUUGCUUAGUAACGAACGUACGGUGGCCGAGACGGUUUAACGUCUUCUCACGAUGUGGCGCGUGAACUACAGUAGAAAUGCGCGAAGCUUCAGAACCUGCAACGAGUUUAUUACGUUAGACGCGUUUGUGACGGAGCGUCUCAUCCAGCGAGGAAACGCUGGCUGCCGUCGCCAGAGAACAGAGCAGAAAGGUCCGAC